This 263-nucleotide ribosomal RNA is filed under the name uncultured bacterium. RNAcentral's name for it is "partial 16S ribosomal RNA". It matches the Rfam family "Bacterial small subunit ribosomal RNA", at positions 524 to 787 of the family's 1533-position model. The record is from RNAcentral.
CACGUAGGGGGCGAGCGUUGUCCGGAAUUAUUGGGCGUAAAGGGCGCGUAGGCGGCCGUUUAAGUCUGAUGUGAAAGUGCGGGGCUUAACCCCGUAAAGCAUUGGAAACUGGAUGGCUUGAGGACAGGAGAGGAAAGUGGAAUUCCUAGUGUAGCGGUGAAAUGCGUAGAUAUUAGGAGGAACACCAGUGGCGAAGGCGACUUUCUGGACUGUUUCUGACGCUGAGGCGCGAAAGCGUGGGUAGCGAACAGGAUUAGAUACCC